CCUACGGGAGACAGCAGUGAGGAAUAUUGGUCAAUGGCCGUAAGGCUGAACCAGCCAAGUCGCGUGACGGAAGAAGGAUCGAUGGUUUGUAAACUUCUUUUAUAGGGGAAUAAAGGUAUCCACGUGUGGAUAUUUGCAUGUACCCUAUGAAUAAGCAUCGGCUAACUCCGUGCCAGCAGCCGCGGUAAUACGGAGGAUGCGUGCGUUAUCCGGAUUUAUUGGGUUUAAAGGGUGCGUAGGUUGUUUUUUAAGUCAGCGGGGAAAGUUUGUGGCUCAACCAUAAAAUUGCCGUUGAAACUGGAAGACUUGAGUGUGUUUGAGGUAGGCGGAAUGCGUGGUGUAGCGGUGAAAUGCAUAGAUAUCACGCAGAACUCCGAUUGCGAAGGCAGCUUACUAAGCCAUAACUGACACUGAAGCACGAAAGCGUGGGGAUCAAACAGGAUUAGAUACCCGGGUAGUC
This 460-nucleotide ribosomal RNA is filed under the name uncultured bacterium. Its description in RNAcentral is "partial 16S ribosomal RNA". It matches the Rfam family "Bacterial small subunit ribosomal RNA", at positions 338 to 795 of the family's 1533-position model. The record is from RNAcentral.